CCGGUGAGUAACCUGCCUUGGAGUGGGGAAUAACACAGUGAAAAACUAGUGCUAAUACCGCAUAAUGCAUUUGGGUCGCAUGAUUCUGAAUGCCAAAGAUUUAUCGCUCUGAGAUGGACUCGCGUCUGAUUAGCUAGUUGGCGGGGUAACGGCCCACCAAGGCGACGAUCAGUAGCCGGACUGAGAGGUUGGCCGGCCACAUUGGGACUGAGACACGGCCCAG
This 223-nucleotide ribosomal RNA is filed under the name uncultured bacterium. RNAcentral's name for it is "partial 16S ribosomal RNA". It matches the Rfam family "Bacterial small subunit ribosomal RNA", at positions 114 to 334 of the family's 1533-position model. The record is from RNAcentral.